RNAcentral lists this signal recognition particle RNA (94 nucleotides) under Deltaproteobacteria bacterium. RNAcentral's name for it is "signal recognition particle sRNA small type". It matches the Rfam family "Bacterial small signal recognition particle RNA". Rfam says of the family: The signal recognition particle (SRP) is a universally conserved ribonucleoprotein involved in the co-translational targeting of proteins to membranes. The record is from RNAcentral. Lineage: Bacteria; Pseudomonadati; Myxococcota; Myxococcia.
AACGGUGGUCCGUACAAUUGGAAGGUGUGAACCGUGCCAGGUCCGAAAGGAAGCAGCACUAAGCACUGGAAGGUGUGUACGGAUCACUUUCAAA